This 66-nucleotide transfer RNA is filed under the name Chaetopterus variopedatus. Its description in RNAcentral is "tRNA-Ile". The record is from RNAcentral. Lineage: Eukaryota; Metazoa; Annelida; Polychaeta; Chaetopteridae.
GGUAUUGUGCCGGAUUAAACGGACUACUUUGAUGAUGUAGAACAUGGAAUAAAUAUCUCAAUACCU